GUAAGCGGAUGGGCUCGGCCUCAAGGACAGGGUGCUCGGCUGAAAAAAAAGCUAGCGGCGAUCACCGGUGCCAGGGCUCUCCAGAAACGGAGCCCAUCUAACCAAUGCCCAGCACACUCGCUCUGCUCCACACACGAGACCACCUCCGACCCGCACUAAGUUGGCCAACUGCACUCUGGAGGCGGCGGCAGCCAGCGAGGGAGAAGGGAAAGGCUGUCCCGGGACCCCGAGGAGGACUGCCCCGCCCCCGGGAACCGGGUGCGGCGUAAAACAACCCCGGCUCCGGGCCGACCCUUCCUGGCCCCUUGGAGGCCCAGGCGGGGCGGCGGGGGGCGACGCGGCAGGGGUCUCCGCGCCCAGGCUCCCGCGGAGCGGCCACACGUGGAGGUUCCCACUUUGGGGUCGCGGCCGCAGCAGCACCGGGCGGGAUGCUGUCCGCGCUGCCCGCGUACGGCCGCGGCCUGAGUGGAGACGCCUGCCCCCAGCCCCGAGGCCUCGGCCCCCGUCCGCCCUCUCUCCCUGCUCGGCGGCCUCGUACUCACGCUGACUUCAUGGCAGCAGGCUCCACGCCGCCCAAACGCGCAUGCGGGACGGCUGGCUGGCGAAGACUGCGGGACGUUAGGACCGGCAGCAAGAACUAGAACUUCGCGGCUAAGGCGCGGUGCUCUGCGAAGCCGGCGGCGACGCUAAGAGCCCAGGUGAGCUCCCGCCUGGCGCAUUUCAAACGGGCCAAUCAGCGCCCGUCCGCAGGGAGAGGCAGGACCUCCGCGGAAGUGACUUCGCUGCCGGAAGUGGCGCUUGUCUCCUAGGCGACCGACGCUGAAAGGGCCGCGGAGUCGCGUGUCAGGGCUGGAGGGAGAUCUUGAGGUAUGGUAUUUAAACUCUUCCGCCUUGCGAUGACGAAACUGAGGGUUUCUUUUCCUCCAUCACAAGAAGUUCAAUGGAAGGGCCUUUCCAGGGUUGAUUCAGAGGUCGGAAUGUCGUUCUGGUGAAAAGUGUUGUAUUCCUGUGCUGUGCCCUGCUCCAAGUCUCAGGCUCCGUCUCUCUGGCUCCCAAGUCACCACAUUAUCUUGGCGUCUUUUCUCUCUCUGAUUCACCUUUCCUGGGUUUCCCUCCAGCUCUGUCCUAUAUGUACAUUAUUUUAUCAAAUCUUUUUUUUUUCCUUUUUUAUUUUUUGAGGUGGAGUUGCUCUGUCGCCCAGCCUGGACUGCAGUCUUCAGCUCACUGCAACCUCCACCUCCUAGGUUCAAGCAAUUCUCUUGCCUCAGCCUCCCGAGUAGCUGGGAUUACAGGCGCGCACCACCACGCCCAGCUAAUUUUUGUAUUUUUAGUAGAGAUGAGGUUUCACCAUAUUGGCCAGGGUGGUCUAGAACUCCUGACUUAAGGUGAUCUGCCUACCUUGGCCUCCCAAAGUGCUGGGAUUACAGGCGUGAGCCACUGCGCCCGGCCUGUUUUAUCAAAUCUUGAUUGUGUUUGAUCCUGGCCUUACGGAGAUGAAUAAAAUUUGGUCCUUACCCUUAAGGGGCAACCUUUUGAACCUACUCUUGCCUUAGAUGAACUGAUUCUAUAUCACUUCUGUCUUUGACCCUAAGCCGAUGACUACCAAAUACACAUCUACACCUGGGCUCUCAUGGAACUCUAGCCCCUUCUCAACUUCCUAAAGGACCACAGCACUGGUAAGGAUAGUCACAAUGUCCUUGGCCAAUAUUGUUGGUGCUCAGGAAACGACACCCCAGAGUAUGGCUCUUUGGCACACUGAGUGCUUUGAACUAAAGAAGACUGAAAGUGCCUCAGAGAAGCCUUAAAAGCAAAGUCUGUCUCUGACUUUCUCCUGCCCUCUUGUCUCCCACCCCUCUGUGUCUCCUAAAGCAAAUAAUAGAAACCAGAAUUUCUGUUCCCCAAGGCGGGUCAUGGAAACUAGAACCCCUUUUCUCCCAAGCAAGCCAGAAACAUUAUUCUAGAAAAACCUAGAAAUAUUAAUCUAGCCUUCCCCCACCUUUUUGUGUAAGAGCUGGCCAUAAAGACAUUCUUUGAUGUACCUUGUCAUAAGACCCUCGUUCCAAAAGGGUCUUGCCCUACACUCAGGAAGAAGGAAAGCUGCACAGAGAGGCCAAGAAGAAUCUGAACAGACAGGACUUGCUGGAUUCCUCCUUCAGUCUGUUACUAUUAGAUCAUACUCCUUUUGUACAAUCACAUUUCUACACAGCUGUCCAUUCUUCAUCUCAUCUAAGCAUAAAAAUGGACAGCUUUCCCUGGGUCUUUGGGUCUUCAUUUCUGAAGGCACUUACAUCCCAUAAAACUGUGAUUCAAUAAGUUAUCCAUUUAUCUUGCUAACCUGUUUUUUGUUAUGGUAGUGUCAGCUGUGACCCUUAAGAUGGGUAAAGAAAAGUAUCACACCUUUUCCACCCCUACAUUGCACAUUAGGAUGGUUCCAACUUUUCCUAUUACAGAUACAGCUAUAGUGAAUGAAUGUGGAAAUUUAUACAAUGCAGGUAAAUAUGUAGGAAACAUUUCUAGAAACAGAAUUGCUGAGUCAAAGAGUAUACAUAUGUGUAACAUUUCACAGAUAUUGCAAAUCAUUCUCCAUAAAAGCUGUCCAAAUGUACACUCCCACCAGCCUGUAUGAGAGUGCCUAUUUCUCCACAAUUCUCAAAGUGUUAUCAAACUUUUCAGUAGCUACCAAUCUAUUGAUAUCUCAUAUCAAUUGGUGAGAAAAAACAUGUAGUUAAAUUUUUCAUUUAUUUUCAGAUAAAUGUUGUCUAUUCAUAUAUUUUAGAGCCCUUUUGAUUCCUUCUCUAUCAACUGUGUUCAUAUUCUUUGCCUCUUUGUUCUAUUGGUUGUUCGUUUUUCUUAAUGAUCUGUGAAAGUUCUUAUAUUAAAAAAAAAUUGGUCCUCAUCCAAAAUACGAGUUUAAAUACUUUUAUUUUUCACAUUUUGGUUAUUUUUAUUUGUAUAUGUUUUGUGACAGCUUGGAAAAAAUUUCAGGUAGACAGAUUAAUCCGUCUUUUCUUUUAUGGCUUCUGUUUUGUGUCAUACUGGAAAAAUACAUCCAUUCUGAGUUUUUUAUUUUAUUUCUCAUUUUUUGUUUCCUAGUGCUUUUAUUGCUUUGCUUCCUAUGUUGAAGUCUUUGAAUGAUUAGGACUUUGUUGUCAAGCUAGAGUUUGGUAUUUUGUUGGUUUGUUUGUUUUGUUUUGUUUUUUGAGACGGAGUCUGUCACGCAGGCUGGAGUGCAGUGGCGCAAUCUCGGCUCACUGCAGCUUCCGCCUCCGGGGUUCAAGCAAUUCUCCUGCCUCAGCCAGGCUGGUCUUGAACUUCUGACCUCAAGUGAUCCACCUGCCUCAGCCUCCCAAAGUGCUAGGAUUACAAGUGUGAGCCACCGCACCUGGCCUAGAGUUUGGAAUUUUUAUCAUUUAGGAAUUGGGCUUGGUUGCUGACUACUUAUAUCCUAGUUGCUCUUCAGUUUAGCUUCUACCUCAGACUCCAUUGGAACUCUUGUCACCAAAAUUACCACUUCCUUGAUGCUAAAUCUAUUUGACUUUUGUCUUACUUGGCUUCUUAACAACACUAAAAAAUGUUGCCCAUUCCUUUCUUCCCAUGCCUUUAUUUUUUCUCCUAGCUGUCUAGCCCUUCUUUCUCAGUCUCCUUUGUGAGUUCUUUUUUUCUCCCUUAAAUGUUGGGGCUCAGGGUUUAGAGCUGGUCACUAGGUGUGCCUUUUCCCUAGGCACUCUCAAGCACUCAUAUGGCUUCACAUCCCAUUCAUGUUUGCUCUUCUGAGCUCCAGAGCCAUAUAUCCAGCUGUCUUCUGGAUUCUCCACUUCGAUAUCCCACAAGCAUCUCACAUCUAACACAUUCUAAUCUCUUCUCCCAAACUUGCUCCCUCUCAGUGGAUGGCAUCCACCAAGCCAGAGUCUAAAGCAACAUUGUUAGCUUUUCUCUCUUCUUCUGUCUCAAUAUUCAAUCACUAAAUCUUAACAGUUCUACCUACUAAGUAGCCAAACCUCCAAACUGCUCCACUUUUCUCUGUCUCCUCAGCCACCAUCUUCUCUUGUCUGAUAAAGACAGCAGUCUCCUAACAGGCCUCUCUGCUGCCACUUUCCAAUUCAGUUUCCAUUUUGCUCAUCUCUAAAUCAUGGAUCUGAUUAUGUCACAUACCUAUAUGAAACUCUGCAGUGGUUCCCCAUUGUUGGAGACCCACCACAGGGCCCUGAGACGCUUCCUCUGGGGCUCAUCACCCAUCACUGCCCCCUGUCCCCUCUAGUCAUGUUGAACUGCAGUGCCCUGAACACGCUGGGCUCACACGCCAUUCUCUGUGCUGUCACGCUCUCCUCCCUCCUUUCCUCUGACAAUGCCUUGCCUUCAGUUCUCUGCAGAUCUGCCAGCUACCCUGCUGUGGAUACUGGGCCCCGUGGUACAGCCCCCACGCCCCCAAAACUGCCCUUUCCCACUCACUGCACCUGUUGACUUGUUUCAGCACUCACAUUCCAAUUGGCAGUCACUGUUCAUUCCUGUCUCCUCUACUGGCUUAUCCCCACAGCCUCACUAGAUGGCAUCGUUGCAUGCCCAGUGCCUAGCAGUGCAGGUGCCCCAUACAUGGCUUGAAGGGAUGAAUGAAUCAUCCCUUCAAAGAACGCUCCAGUUGAGGACCCAGUUACAUCGCACCACCUCCAGCUUCUCUUCAGGCCAGUUUCUUCUUCCUCCCUCACUUCUGUAUUAAAGUUCUCUGGCUUAUUAAUUUCCUUAAAACUACCAAAUAAUUACAUCAUUUUUCUAUUCAAAAAUAGCAAAGGGCUACCUAUAGCCAUUAAAAGAUUUGCAUUUUACCAUAGAAUUAGAGAUCCAGAUCAGGAGUGCGCGUAGGAGGGUGGGGAGAAGAGAACUGAGGGGCUUUUUUCUUUCUAAAGUCAAGUAUUUUAGGUAUAAUUUACAUACAGUAAAAUGGACCCUUUUUAGUUGUAUCGUUAUGUGUAUUUGACAAAUAUAUAGUGUGCUGUAACCACAAUCAAACGUAUAUUUCCAUCACAGUGGAAAAUUCUCUGGGCUGCCCCUACUCCCAGGCCUUGGCAACGACUUUUCUGAUUUUCUUCCCUAUACUUUUGCCUUUUCCAGAAUGUCUUUUCUUUCACUCAGCAUAAUGCUUUGAUAUUCAUCAAUGUGUUGCAUGUACCAGUAAUUUGUUCCCUUUUUGUUGCUGAGUCUAUUCCACUGUAUGAAUGCAGGACAAUUUAUUCAUUCACCAGUUGGACAUUUAGGUUGUUUCUACUUUCUGGAGAUUAUGAAACUGGUAUAAUUAUUUGUGUAAAAGUCUUUAUGUAGGUGUGUUUUUAUUUCUCUUGGGUGGGAUUGUGGGUCUUACGGUAAGUUUAACUUUAUUAGAAACUGUUAAAUUGGACCAGGCGAGUCUUAUCCAAAUCAUUGAAGAGGGGCUGACACUACACAAAUUCGAAAUCAUAUAUUAAUCCAAACACCCAGAUAAGCAAGUCCAGCUGUGGGAACCCAGUAAACACCAAUGACCAGAAACUGCUGAAGCCCCGAGUGUUUGAGGGGAGGUGGUAAAAUGGAGACAGCACUGCCUUGGGAUCUUGGACAUGCUCCGCACACUGUUCCCUCCCAGGCCCUGCUGGUCACUCAGUGGCCUUAGAAACAUUGUCUCAGGUUCCCAGGCCAUGAAUCUCUCUCGCCAGGCCAUUUGUAACAUGAAUGGUUAGAUGUUAAUGUUUACAUACAGAAAACACAAAUUAAUAAAAUCAACCUGGGGAUGUGUGUGUGUGUGUGUGUGUGUGUGUGUGUGUGUGUGUUGGGGAGUUGGGGGACUGUAAAAUUUACACAAAAAGAAACAAAUGACUUGAACUAUAUUUCAAAUAAAUAACAUACACAGAAAGGGGGAAAUAACCCAGGUAACUGUGACUAUUUAGAAUCAAGCUUGCCCUCAGGGUCAAGACAAAAAAAAAAAACUUGAAACGUUUUGAAUUCUAAUUAGUAGGCACAGACAUUAGUUGGUAAUUCUGAAACAACAUUCUGUACAUUCUAGGAUUGAGCAGAUAAAAUGUAUCAUGGGCUGGGUGAGGUGGCUCAUGCCUGUAAUCCCAGCAUGUUGGGAAGCUGAGGCAGGUCUAUCACUUGAGGUCGGGAAUUCGAGACCAGCCUGGCCAACAUGAUGAAACCCUGUCUCUACUAAAAAUGCAAAAAUUAGCCAGGCAUUGUGCCACGCGCCUGUAAUCCCAGCUACUCAGGAGGCUGAGGCAGAAUCGCUUGAACAUGGGAGGCAGAGGUUGCAGUGAGCCAACAUCGUGCCACUGCUCUCCAGCCCGGGCAACAGAGUGAGACUUCGUCUCAAAAAAAAAUAAAAUAAAUAAAAUAAAAUAAAACAUAUUGUGGCUAAUGGCAGUCAGCUUUCUCACUGUUGGAAAAGGGAGGAAAGGAGAAAAGGUGAAAAGUACCUGGGAAUUCUUUGCACUAUUUUGCAACAUUUUUCUAAGUCUGAAAUUGUAUUUAAAAAUGGUUGGACUAUAUCAGUGCUUCUGAACUCCCUUAUAUUAAAAAUUACCUACAGCUUUAGCUAAAAAUUUGAAACUACAGGAUCACCUCCCCCACUGUGGGUAGUCUGUGUCAGUAUGUUUGGGCCUGAGAAUCUGCAUUAUACAUCAUCGAACAAAUUUUAAAAGGGCUGAAUUAAAUGAUCUUUGAGGGCCUUUCCUUCUGUGUUCUGGAGGAGGCAAAAAAAUUCAGCCUGUUUCAGAAAUCUGUUGCUUAGCAUGAAGAGAAUGAGCGUGGCAACUGUCUGAAGUUAAUUUCUUAUGAGUUGACACAUUCCAUACAAGUACCAAGAGACAUAGGAAAGCCCUAUAGGCAAUUUCUCAAGGGAAAAAAAAUCAGGAAAAUCUCAGAAUUCUUCAAAAAUCAAGUCAUCCAGAUAUCUUCUGGAGUUAACAUCCUUCCAGUAGAACAAGUACCUGCCAGCCUUGGGACCCCUCUACUUAGCUCAACCUGCAAUCCCUUCCCCCGACAAGCUGACAAGGCUGGCUCCUUUUUGCCCAUCAAGUCUUCCUCAAAUGUCAGCUUAUCAGAGUGACCAUCAAUUCACAUGCCCUACUAGGCUUAGUUUCUUUACAGCACUUAUUAUCUGGAUUCAUCUAUAUAUCCUGUCUGCCUGCCCAACCAGAACACUAGCUUCAUUAGGGAGGGACAUUGCAGGUUUUUUUCACUUGUGUAUCCCCAGUUCCUAGGACAGUGGCCAUUCUAUACAUCCUAAGCACUAACUAUUCAUUGAAUGAUUUACUGAUACACAUGUGUACAGGGAUCUGUUUCUCAUGGUGAAUUAACAUAUUUGCAGUGUGGUAGAUAAAACAUAACCAAAUUAAGUGGCAAACAGGAUGACUUUAUGAUAAUAAAUAAAUUCUGUUUAUUUUUUUCUCUCACAUAGUUCAAGAAAACCAGACAUUAGUGUAAGUUGGAGAACAUCUGAGUUUGGAAACAGGUCUUUGCCUUAAUGGAUUGUUGACUAGAAAAUCAGAGGCCGAAAUUCAAAUAAUAUGUUUUGAAGUGUUGUUGUACCGUGUUAAUAGGUGUUUCAUAUAAAAAGGGUAGCAUGGACUGGGUGCAGUGUGGCUCAUGCCUGUAAUCCCAGCACUUUGGGAGCCUGAGGCAGACAAAUCACUUGAAUUCAGGAAUUCUAAGCCAGCCUGGGCAGCAUGGCAAAACCCUAUCUCUACAAAAAGUUAGCCAGGCUUGGUGGCAUGCACCUGUAGUCCCAGCUACUCAGGAGGCUGAGGUGGAAAGAUCACUGAAGCCUGUCAGGCAGAGGUUGCAGUGAGCCAAGAUUGCAACACUACACUCCAGCCUGGGCAACAGAACAAGACCCUGUCUCAAAAAAUAUUUUUUUUAAUUAAAAAAUGUUAAAGGGUACCAUAAGGUACAAAAUAGUGUCAAAUGAAGGGUUUCUUGAACAUAUCUGACAAUGCCAUUCUACUACACCGCACCUACCUCAGAACCUCUCAUAUGAGCAAGUUUCUACUGGGCGGGGCAGCAGGGGGAACAACACUUCCAGAAAGACUUCAGCAGACCAAAUAUUUAAACCACUUUAUACUCAGAAGACCUCUAAAUUUCCCAUAACAUCCUACCAACAAUUACAAAUUCUUUUUUUUUUUUUUUUGAGGCAGGGUCUUGCCCUGUUGCCCAGUCUGGAGCGCAAUGGCGCAAUCAUAGCUCACUGCAGCAUCCAACUCCUGGGUUCAAGCAAUCCUCCCACAUCACCCUCCACAGUAGCUGGGACCACAGGUGUGCACCACCACAACCAGCUAGUUUUAACUUUUUUUUAUAGAGACAGUGUCUGGCUCUGUUGCCCAGACUGGUCCUGAAUUCUUGGGCCCAAGCAGUCCUCCCACUUCAGCCUCCCAAAGUGCUGGGAUUACAGGCAUGAGCCACUGCAUCCAGCCACAGAUUCAUUCAUUCAUUCGUUCUUUCUUUGUUUUAAGACUAGUCAAGUGCAGUAGUGAGAAGAGGGGAAGAGUAGAACAAGGAGCUUGAUCUAUAACUGACUGCGAACAAUCAAUUGAGCUAACUCACUACCUUCAGACCAGCCACAAAUUCAUUUCUUUAGAAAAAAGAUGAGAAUUAUUUUCUAAAAACUGAGCAAUGGAAAAGGAACCCCUUCAAUGGGUAAAGGGAGGUAAAGUUAACUGAAUGGCCUUAUUCAUCAUACACAUUCAAGUUUUAUCACAGUUGUAAGGUCUGGUAAAUUUUUGAGUAGUGCUUCUCAAGCAAGGGGAGUGGGGAGAGGUACAUCCCAUUAGGAAUGUGCCACCCUCCCCACCAUAGUCUUUUUUGAGACAAUGCCAUGGUGAGCAAUUGUUACCAAUGGGAAUGUGUCACAUGUCUUAAAUGUAGUGAGACACUUUUUAAAAAUUAAGACCCACUCCAGUGAGGUCUUCAGCUGACCCCCUGCCAACCUUUUAGACUUUCUGAGAUGGCUUGGAUGAAAUUAUACUCACAUUAGACAUCUAAUGCCUAUUAUUUAAUACUUAAUGAUAAUUAAUAUAUUUGAACCCCUUCUCAUUUUGCAUAGGAAGCUUUCAAAUCAGUGUUCUGCAAACUGUCGUAAAAUUCUGAUUUAUAACACUGUCCCCAAAAGUAUAUAAUGGGACUAAAGUUUACCAAACUUAUAAAAAUGUUAUGAAACACUGGAUCUUAUUUUGUUGAUUUAACAUUUCAUUUCCAUCAUUAAGCAUGUGAAAAAGCAACAUAAGCAAAGAUUAAAUAAUCUAAAAAUCCUUCAAAUUGGUCACUCAUUAUUUCAGUACUUACUGAGCUAAACAUUAUUUUGUUACCUAUAAAGGAGAGAAUGUAAAACACUGUAUGUCUUUGGCAUUACUAGAAAGGGGUAUUUAAACUUUGUACCUUUUUUUGCCAUAAAAUUGAAGUUACAGUAAGAUGAAAUGGAAGCUCACAAGCCCUGUUGGUGUGGAAUUCCACUAAUAAUGUCAGAUUGUUGCCAGAAAAACAAAUUUUGUCAUGCAGCUUGCAAUUAAUGUACCAAAAAUUUACCAGCCCAUAUAAUUUUAUCAGUCUGCCUUCCCCAGAGGAAGUAAACAGAUAAUAAAACUAACGAAAUCAUAUUUCUUGACCACUCUCAUCCAAUAUAAAUUGUUACUUGUCCUUCGAGUAUUAGACAGUGAGCUGUUUACAAGGCCAUUCAAAUGUCUGGGCUAGUUAAUGGUAGAGGCAGUAGUCUAAAAUAUGGAGUAUUCCUGAGUCAGCAAAGAGGAUCCUGCAUUGUGAGGAAGCCCCCCUAAGUCAUUACCAAGUGCAGAUCUGGGUUUGAUGGGCCUCUGUCAAAAGUUGUUUUGCAUCCGCAUUUCUGUGUUCCCUGAAAACACCAUGAAAUACUGAACUUUAAUCAGUAAUGCAACAAAUGAGAAAAUGCUCAGUGUUUUAGAACUAUUCAGAGUAGAAAACGCUGGAACAUAAAAUGAGGUUACGCCUUAGUUGGUGAGUUGCUAAAACUUGAGAUCAGGCGAAACAAAGCUGAUAGGUCUAAUGCCUUUUGGAACAUGUAACACCAGCAGUUCUUCAAGUUUGGCCUCUGGCCCUCCUGUAUUAGAAUCAUCUGGGAGACUUGCUCCAGUGCAGAUCUCCUCUACAAAACCUACAUUUAACCUAGUGAAGCAGAACCCCCUGGUUUUCCCUAGGAGUCUGCAUUUGUCACAAGCUUACUGGAUGUUUCUGAUUCACAGUAAAGCUUGAGAACACUAUAUGUGACCACCCCACUGGCAAGGUGAUUAACUUCUUAUGCAUAUGGAUACUAAAUUUUGCAACAUAUUUGAAAUGCUGAAGCAAUAUCAAAUGUAUGACAUCCCCAAAUAUAGCAAUUUCCAUUGGUUUAAAAGGUGGCAUAUGAGCACAACCAAUUGGGAUUAACUCAGUCAACUCUUAUGGUUUAACACAUUUUACCUGCACUGAAAAAUACUUUGCAGAUCAAACUGGCAACCAGAAAACAGAACAUAACAGAACACAUGACACCCCGCUGUGGACUUUUAAGAAAAAAACUGACAAACUCCAAAUCCAUAAUGACAUGAGAACUUACACUUUGAAGGCAGAAUGGACUUGUGGGAAGAGAGGACUCCCCUUCUGUUCUCCCUUCACUAGGUGGAGAAGGGAAGAAGGGCUCUCCCCAGACAGCUCUCUUCAUUCUGGAAUGUUUUGCCAGUCCCCAAGGCACUCAGUGACCAACUUUCUUUCACAGGUCCUCCCAGUGACUGACCUGGCUCAUUCUCCGAAAGUGGUUGACAGGCCACUACGAGAGCUCUUGAGAGAAGCUUUGUGACAUGAAAUUCAUCAAAUGAAGCAAGAUUCAUUUUUAAAGAAUAAUACAAAGCUCCAGAGUAAUAUGCUUAAUCCAAAUGUUUAAAUAGAAUUUAAAACCACAUUUUAAGUAAAUUUAAAAUUAAUGAAAUAUCAAUAGUUUGCCUUAACAAGGACUUGCUUGAACCAUAUUCUCCUUUUAAAAUCACACACACAGAAUCAGUGUACAUUUAGAGAAAUUUCCCCAGCUGAAUAACAUUUUUGACAUGAAUUCAUUCAAAAGACACCAACCAUUAUGAAUAUUUUAGGCCAUGAUAAGCUGUAACCACCUCCGGCUUAUGGUGGUUAGGAUGUUGCAGCUUAAUGUUGACAUCUGGCAUGAAAAGCUUAUGGUCUGAGUCAUGUUUCUUUUUUAUGUAAUUCUGGCUUGGGAAUCCGAUACAGAGCAGCUGAGAAAUAAAUUAUGUUGCUGAGGCUGAAGAUGAUGCACAGAAGUAUGGCUCCAGCUAUCUGAGAGAAAGAGAAGGGCUUGGAGGUGGCCAGGAGCCAUUCCUUCCUCAGAGUCUUGUCCAGAAGUAUGGCUUCCAUCUGCAUGUGCGUGGCCAGGAUCACACACACGUGAAACAGCUGGUGACUGUGACCUAUGGCAAACACAAAAGGCCGUCAAGAUCAGCAAUGAAAAGGAAUGAGUACUGAUACAUGCUAUGGCAUUCAUGCUAAAAAUGAUGCUAAGUGAAAGAAACCAGACAGGAGACCACAUAUUAUAUAAAAUCUCCAGAAUAUGCAAAUCCAUAAAGACAGAGAGUAGAUUAGAGGCUGCCUCAAGCAGGGGGUGAGAAUAGGUAUUAACAGUGCAUGGGUCUGAUGGAGGGGAUGAAAAUGUUCUAAAACUGAUGUAUGGUGAAUUUACUGAAAAUAUCAUUAAAUUGUAUACUUGACAUUAGAGAAUUAUUGAAUAUGUGAAAUAUACCUUAAUAAAUUUAUUUUUAAGAAGCAAUAUGGGAAAAAUAAAAGGCCCAUCAGAGAAAACCAAAUCCAAAUUCUUUUUUAAAACAACUUAUCCACCAGUCUCAUUUUUCAGAUGAAAAAAUUAGGCACCAAAGUUCAUCUCUUGAGAGCCAGCACUGAUCAGCUCAGAGUCUCACUUCAGUGCUGAGGGAGAAGCUGGCUGAAUUUUCUGUUGGCCACUAACCAAGUGGACCUCUCCCUACUGCCAGUUAGUCACAGAUAUGACCAGGACUCUUCCUCCCCAAUGCCAUGCUGGACCCAGCUCACAUGGUGCCCUUCACAGAGGCUGGGAGCCCAGUAGAGGGUAGUGGGAGUGACAGGGACAGGGACGUGCUGGGUGGUUGGUGAGAAAACAAAUCCAAUGCCUAGGGUCGGGGGCAGCUUUGGGGGACAACCCUCAGACCCCAGGAGUAAGGAGGCGACCACAUGUGUUAUGGGCUGAAUGAUGUCCCUGAAAAAUACAUGUGCUGAAGUCUUAAGCCCCAGAAUGAGACCAUAUUUGCAGAUAGGAUCUUUAGAGAAAUAAUUAAAUAAAAAUGAAGUCUCUAAGAUGGGCCUAAUCCACUAUGACUGGUGUCCUUAUAAGGAAAGGAGUUUAGGCCAGGCGCGGUGGUUCACGCCUGUAAUCCCAGCACUUUGGGAGGCUGAGGCGGGUGGAUCACGAGGUCAGGAGAUAGAGACCAUUUUGGCUAACAUGAUGAAACCCCGUCUCUACUAAAAAUACAAAAAUUAGCCGGGCAUGGUGACACGUGCCUGUAAUCCCAGCUACUCUGGAGGCUGAGGCAGGAGAAUGGCGUGAACUCGGGAGGCAGAGCUUGCAGCGAGCCAAGAUCAUGCCACUGCACUCCAGCCUAGGCGACAGAGCGAGACUCCGUCUCAAAAAAAAAAAAAAGAAAGAAAAGGAGAUUAGGACACAGACAUGCACGUAUACAAGAAAAAGAUCAUGUGAAGACAGUUGGAAAGAACGGCCAUCGACAAGCCAAAGAGAGAGGCCUCCGGAGAAGCCUACUUGCCAACGCUUUGAUCUCAGAUUUCCAGCCUCCAGAAUUGUGAGAAAAUAAAUUUCAGUUGUUUAGGCCACAACAGUCUGUGAUACUUUGUUAUGGCAGCCCUAGCAAACUAAUGCAGCAUAAGAGUUAAAUAAGGUUUCUCUUUUGGUUUAAAAAAAAUAAAAUAAAAAGGCUGGGCAUGGUGGCUCACACCUGUAAUCCCAGCACUUUGGGAGGCCAAGGCAGGAGGAGUGCUUGAACCCAGGAGUUUUGAGACCAGCCUGGGCAACACAGUGAGAUCCCAUCUCUAGAAAAAUAAAAAAUUCAGUGUUUCACCCCCAGGACCUAUCUCAGAAGAAAUAUUCAAUAAAUGUGUCCUAGGAAUGAACCGGCCUGGCCACCUCUACUAUUGAGCAGGAGCAGAGUUAGGAAGAUUGAGCAGGAGCAGAGAGGGAUUCCCACCUCCAGCAGACUCUGUUAGUUAAGGACUGAGAAUGUUCCAAAUCUUGUUAAUGAUCUGUCAUGAACUAUUUUCUAGGAAAUGUCCCCCAGAGGGGUGUUUUUCAGCUCUGUACCCCUAGGCCCAAGAGGAUGGGACAGAGGUGAAUAAAAUGUUAUUAAGAAACCUGAGUGGUAGCAAAAGAAGGCCCAGGGCCAUUUUUCCUGCAACCCCAAAACUUGCUACACAGCCACCUCUACUUCAUUAAGCGGGGCUGGGGAGGUGGACAUGGCAGUCAGGAUGCUGGUGACUCCGAUUCCCUGGCCUCUCCUUUUCCUCCUUUUUGGAAAUCUGUUCUCUAAGCAUUUUACUAGUUACAACCCCUUCUGACACAACAAAAGAAGAAAAGGAGAUAAAACUUUAAUCAGAUCAAACAAACUGCAUCUGGCCACAUCUUUUAGUGAGAGGAGAUGGAAAAUCAGGAACAAAAUGGGCUUGGGGAGAAGCAAGCUUCCUGCCCUGGUGGGGACAAUGACUGGCCCUUUGAUUCCCAUGUACUCACCUAAGGAACUCUCACCCCAAAGUCUUGUCAGCCUCACCAGAAAUGAUGCAAGGGUUCCUCCUCCUAGCCAGUCCCAGAGCCAGAGCGGAGGAGGCACAUUCUGCAGGGACCCGCCCCUCCUUCCCUAGACAGAGCGGGGAAAGAACUCUGCCAGCAGGUGGAAACCCCCGUGACUCUGACACCUUCUCUCCACCAGAUCACUUCAAACUUAAGUGAGCUCAGGUUCAUCUGGAGGAUGACUCGGCCUCUGUGUGAGUAUUGGGUUUCACUCCUGGCGUUUCUGGUUCAGGAGGUCUGUGGUGGGGCCUGAGAAUCUGCAUGUUCUCAGAUGAUGCUGAUGCUGCUGGCUGAUGACCACCCCUGGAGAAACCACUGCUCUACCCUGAACCCCUGGCCCCCUCCCGUCCACCAUGCUCAAGACAAAGAAAGAUGCUUUCUCCCCUUUUCCCUUUUCUGCACAGCCCCCUGUUGUCUGGUACCCUCAGAGCCAUCUUCAUCCUUUCUUUCCUCUUCCUCUCCUCGGCUGCUCCCAAUGUACUUUUUCUCUUCACAUAGGAUCUCUCUCACCCAGGCUAGAGUGCAGUGCAUGAUCAUGGCUCACUGUAGCCUCAACCUUCCAGGCUCAAACCAACGCCUCCCAAGUAGCUGGGACCACAGGUGCACGCCACCAUGCCCAGCUAAUUUUUGUAUUUUUUGUAGAAAUGGAGUUUCACUAUGUUGCUCAGGAUUGUCUUGAGCACAGUCUCAAGUAAUCUGCCCACCUUGGCCUCCCAACGUGCUGGGAUUACAUGUGUGAGCCACCACGCCCAGCCCCAAUGUUCACUUAAUCAUGGGAUUCCAUGUUCUGGAUGACAAUAAGACACACUGGCUCCAUACCCCAUCAGAAUGCUUUAGGCUCCUGGGCCCACCUGCCCUCCAUCCUGCCCAUGCUACCUAACAAUGCACCUGCUGCAGACAUCCUGACCUCUGUCAACUUGCAAUGUUACUCGCCUUGGCCUCUCUCUCUGCCCUUCCCUGCCCUUUGCAGCUACGUGCACUGGAGUCAGGGACAGGACCCUCCCCAGUCAGGAGGGCAAUGAGCAGAGCAGCAGGGCUGUUGCCCACUCACCGAUGUAGUCAAAGCGUCCAGGGGCUAGGCGUUCUGGCAGAUGUGCAGAGUACAAGAAAGAGGCCAGGAGGGUCAUGAUCAUGUGCUUCUGGUGGUACGAGGUGGCUUCAUUUUGUGCACUCUCCCCUGGGAACAGGAAUAGCUGCAGGUGUUUAAAGAAACAUCAGGUCUUGAGAGGACAGGCCUGAGGCAGGCCCUCUUCCUUCUCAGCACCUGCAUCUGGGACUUUGGGGGCUCUGACACCCACACAUGUUAGCACACAUACACAAACUCCAGAGGCCAAGGCCCUCACCUCCUCAGGUCUGUGACCUGGUAGAGGAAACUCAGGCACCAUGUGAGCAGAGCUCCUAUCCUGAGUGUGGUCGAUUGAGACUCGAGACUAUUGUAUUUCAAUCCCCCAAAUACUCAUGAGAGUCUUUUGGUUUAUUUACUUAACUGAAUCGGAGAGAAAAAGGAAAGAAGAAAGGAAUGGGAAAGGAAAAGAAAGACAAAAAAUCCUAUUAGAUAAUUGGUAUUCUUUCUGGGGUAAAAUGUAAGUACAGUUGACUCUUAACAUGCAGGCUAGGGGCAUUGACCCCCUGCAGUCAAAAGUCCAUGUACAACUUUUGACUCCCCCAAACUUAAUUACUAAUAGCCUCCUGUUGACUGGAAGCCUUACCUGUAACAAACUGCCAAGUAACACAUAUUUUGUGUAGGUAUUAUAUAUUGUAUUCUUACAAUAAAGUAAGCUAGAGAAAAGCAAGUGAUAUUGAGAAAAUCCUGAGGAGGAGGAAGAAGAAAAGGGGUCGGUCUUGCUGUCUCAUGAGUGGCAGAGGUGGAAGAAAAUCCAUGUAAAGUUCCAACCCAUGUUUAAGGGUCAACUGUUUAGUGGAUUCACACUGGAACUCACUUUUUAUCAGCACAUCCACUGAACUGGUGCUCCUAAUUAAGGCUUUAAGGCCUAGAAAUCCCUGGAAGGCCUUCUGAGUCAUCCAAAAGUAUCAAUGAUGGCCACUAUACUGUUUCAGAGCUAAGUAUAGUUUUUGUAUUAUUGUUAUAAAGUCAUAGUAGCCACCACUUACCGAGGGCAGCAGGCCAGGCCUCUUACAUGCAUCAUUUCACCUGAGCCACAAUUAUCAUAAGGCAGACUCUAUCUUCCCCAUUUUGCAGGUGAGGAAGGUGGGCCAGAGAGUGACUUGCACAUCACUUAGUGAGAAGUGAAGUCAGGAUCUGAAUCCAGGCAGGCUGAUUCCAGCAUCAACAUCACCACUUAGAACUGGACCUCCCCUUCCCUCUGCCCUCCUCUGACUCAGCCACAUGCCAGAAGCACACGAUGCUUGUCACAACACAGGACUUGCACUGCCUGAUUUGGAGGUACAUGGGACAGAAUUGCUCUGUCUGCUCUUGGUUUCCUGUGUGUGGUCUGCGCCCUUGAGGAAGGAGUGAGGGGAACGGGCUGCAGCCCCAUCUUUGGCGCUCUCCCAGACCCACAGAGGCAGAGCACAGAGAACGUGCUCAAUGCCCCAGCUGCUGGGUGGAGCUCAGCCCCUCCCCUUGUCCCUCAGCCCUGCCAUCUGGGCUUUAUUCUUCAAGCCCACAGGACGCUGCCUCUAGGAGGGAGCUUCACUCACCGGGUACUGGACAGGCACCGCAGAGCCUAUCAGAUCCAUUGUUUUCCCCUACAAAGGAGGCCUAGUACCCUUAUGUACAGAUGAGGAAACUAAUCUGAGGCUUAGAGAGUUGUGUGUCCUGCCUGAGGUCACAUAGCCAGUGAGCAGUGGGGCCAGAAUUUGAACUCAAGCCCGUAUGGUUUGAAAGUGCGUGGACUUUCCCCUUCUAGUCCUACUUGUUGUCCCUCCUACACUCUCUUCCUUUAUGCUCUCCAUCUCUUUCCCAUCGCUCCUUUAAGACCCUCAUUCAUGCCUUUUCCUUCAAUACUAACAGUAUACUACUUGAUGAUGGAACAAUGCAUUCCCGAACUCUUGCUACCAGUCAGCACUUGACAUGUUCCCCGUGUAAUCCUCCCCACAGCCCAUGAGGUGUUAUCAGGCCCAGCUUACAGAUGAAGGAAAUCGAGGCAUAGAGAACUGGCCCAGGGACUGACAGCAAGUAUUGGAGACCUGCCUGCAGAGCUCGCUCUCCUGCUCACUCCACUCAGCCCCAGGCUGCCUGUUCUAUGACGUUCCCGAGCCCCCAGUCAUAUUGUCAGUCAGGGCCUCUGUGCUUAUGUCAUCUCCUAACCACUCCUCAAGUGCCACCAAGGCAGCACCUGGGUGUGGGGGAAAGAAAGAUAUAUCAGACUGUUACUGUGUCUAUGUAGAAAAAGGAAGACAUAAGAAACUCCAUUUUGAUCUGUACUAAGAAAAAUCUUCUUAUUUAUUUUCUCAGUCUCUCGUCCCACCUGACGAGAAAUACCCACAGGUGUGGAGGGGCUGGCCCCCUUCACCUGGGUCUCGACUCCUGUUUUGUUCUGCGGUUCCCAUUGCAGUGCUGUGACCCCCCAGAAGCUCAGGAAAACAACUGACUUCCUGGUGUUGCCAACAGGCAGAGAGGAGAUGCAGCCAGUCCUUACCCUGUAGAAGAUGGGGAGGGAGUCCCAGGUGUACGGAUAAGCAAAGGCGAGGACACGAAUCACCUUACAGAGUCUGGGCUUCUGGAUUUCAAGAAACCUAAAUCAGGGAAGGAAAGUGGGGAGGAAAUGGAAUGAAAAGAGUCUCAGCAAAUUGCAUACGCACAUGCAUGCACACCGAGGGCCUGGUCAUCAACAGAGGACAAGCAUUUUUCUACAAGCUCCUGUGGCCAGCAGCUUCUCCACCAGCCUCGUCCAUUCCUCCCACCCCAAUGGAAGUGACAAAACUUCAGAUGCAAAAAGAUCUCCAGGGACACCAUCUCCUGACCAUGGGAAGCAGUGGUGUCCAGACUAAGCCAGAAAGGAGGCGCUGGGCAGAAACCCUUCAAGGGCCAAGUUAUGUAACUGCCAAAGAACCUUUUAAAACUCUAGUUGCUACAGGGACAGGGAACGGGUAGGGGGAAUCGGGGGAUCCACUGCCACAGACUCUUGGGGGGCACACUCUGCAGAGGCUGAGAUGCACCCAUCUAGUUGGAGCCCAGGUAUUAUCAUGCAGGAGACCUGGGUUCAAGUAGGUGUUUGACCCUUGGAGAGCUUUCUGGAAUAUUUAUACCACACACAGGGAUACUUGGCUUGGGAAAACUAAAUAAACGUGAAGUCUUUCCUUCUCUUCUUCAUUGCCACCCUCACCCAACCUCCAAUCCAAAGACAGCUGACAGCAACAUUAAAACAAGUGAUGCUGAUUGUUGAGAAGAGAGGCAGGUCCCCCCAGACAGAACAUGACAGGGCCUCAGCUGACUUGGGCCCAGCCUGGGGCAGCAGCUCAGGGUAUGGGGAACUGGGUAGCACAGACAGCAGGCUGCACACUGGGAGGACAUGGGGAGGGGCAGGGAGGGUCUCUGCACAAAAUCACAGCCCUGAACUGAGGCCUGGGUAAGGAAGUGCUCAUGGGCCCUGGCUGGGCCACCAAGGCCAGGUAGUAGGGACAGGUAAAGUCCCCACAUCAAUGCUGAGGUGUACUGUGGAGGGCUGUGUCCUCCCUUGGGGCCCACAGGGCUGCAGGGUAAGGAACCCAGCACAGUGGAUGCACAGCCACACGCUGAGGCUCUUGGGAUGGCUGUUCUGAUGCAGUCUGUAAAGGCAAUGCAUGCAUCUGGGCCCUUUCAGCCUUUGCUGACAGUUCUGCCCCCUAUCACACUGGAGGGAUGGGGUCUGUGUCCUGCUGUGGCUCCUAUCUCUGCUCCCAAGAACCUCGGUCCCAGUCCACAAGCCUGUUCCUUCUCCUUCAAAUGCCAUCUGCUGUUUCCUCUGAGCCCAGACCGAUUUCACCUGGCCAGGCUGUUCAUAUCUCGUAUGAGCCAGUAAAGCCACCUGACCAUAAACCCAGCUGCUGCCUGUAUCUCUCAGCAUGGAGUAUGCAGGGACUUCCACAUUGGGCAGUUAGGGAACCCUCCUCAGGCAGGUGCCAGAUCUGGUCAGGCCUGGAUCCUGGGGACCCAGCACAGAAGCAGGUCUGAGGAUGCGGACAUUCUCCAGGCUAUUGUGCUCCACUCAGUCCUCAGGGCAACCGAGCACAAAUGGCCCACCCGGAGAUUCCUGUUUCAGGAGAAAGGGACACCACUGUGUGCCCGGAGAAGCCCCACAGCCUCCCAAGACAAACCCCAACUUCACUCCAGCCCACUUUCGUGUUUCUUCUUUCCUGACCCUGCCUGUAAGUCAUACAUGGUACAUGGCAUGUACCAGGUGAGAAGCUCAAGGAGAAGGAACUAGGAUGCAUCAUCCCCCCCGAAAAAGAACCAAACUCCCGGAGAGGUGAGGCAGCGCAGCACUGUGAUUUUAUGUGGAGAGCUUGAUUGGGACACACUGGGUUCAAAUCCUGACCCUGCCCUUCACAACCACGUGACCUCGGCAGGUCACUAACCUUUGUGUACCUCCUGAUCCUCAUGUGUAACACAGGGACAAUGACUGUGCCUUGUCACAGCCUCGUUGUAUGGAUUUGAUGAAACGAUGCUCCCGAGGUGUUUAGAACUGUGCAUGGCACAGUCGCACAGACUAAACAGCAGCUUUUAAAAACACAUGCAUCGUGGAGCUCCAUUCUCUCCCCAUCCCCACCUUGUAUCUAUGUUGGUCCAGAUAAUAGGAACAGGAGGGAACAAAUAGGUUCUGGGUGAUUUGCCUGAAGUCAGAUGAGCCAAUAAGAAGCAGAGCUAGGAUUUAAACCCUGGGCUUUCUGGCCCCCAAGUGUCACCCCCUCUGUCUCAGGCAGUAGGCUGCGCAGACUCAGACCCCGCCCGGCCUUCACCCUUCCCUGCCCGCUCUGCCCCUGGAGCAGAGGGCACACACUCCUGCUAUCCCGAGAGCCAGGUAUCUGCCUCACCGGCCUUCUUAGUCCUCCGGCAGACCCUGCCCUGCCGCGGCAGGCCGCCCCCUCCUGCCCUGUGCCCUGCCACCGCCUGCCGUCUCCAGGUUGAGAGGCUCGCUCUUAAAGGGCCCCUGUGGCCACUUACACGCGAAGAAAUCUGGCUGUGGCUGGCGAAGGCCAUCCCCCAAAGCAUGGAUUUUCUGUGACUUGAGACAACAUUUCGCUCGGCCUGAUAAAGUGUUUCCCCAGGGGCAAACGGACCAGCCUCUCCAGCUGCAAAGCCGGGUCUAGAGGGAAAAGAGAAGGAGAAAAAGCAGAAGAGAAGAGAGACAGCAACAGAGAGAAAAAGGCAGAAGGGCCAGUAGCUCGGGAGAGGGGCCGUCCGCUACCAAGUUGCAGUUCCGCAUUAGGCCACGCGAUGUCGCCACAGCCAGAGCAGAACCACAGCCGCAGCAUCCUCAGAGGCGCCCCACGUGCGGCCCCACAGCCCAGCCUGCUCGGGCUUAGGGCAGUCCCGCACCAGAGGGCUAAGGGGCUGCUAUAGAGGAAGUGAGGUCUCUGCUCAGAACGAGGUUGGCAGGACACACUGGGUUACGGGAGAAGCCUUCGUUAAGAAAGGGUCGAUUCAACACAAUCUGACAAAAAAGCUGGAAGGAUUGGCAACUGGAAUUCCGGAACUAGGGCUUGAAACUAGCGGGCCUUUGGAAAAAUCAUUCUAUUGCAGAGGCGCACGCACGAGUGCACGUGUGUGUGUACAUGGGGGCGGUAGUUAUGGUUGUUUUAUUGUGUAGGAGUUGUCUUAUUUUGGAGAACUGCAGGGAUGUAGACAUUUCCCCAUGCCCCUAACUGGCUAUAGCAGCACUUUAUCCUCUGGCCAAGCCUCUGUCUGAGAACCAUGUCUGCUGAGCCUUCUACCUCCAGCGCUGACCUCAAACCCCUUCCAGGUCAGCUCCACCCCUCUGAACUGCCUCAGCAACUGCCUCUAAGCUGUCCUUAGAGCAGAGCUCAUGGGUGAAAAUUAAUCUCUCGCCCUCACUGCUCUGACCAGGAGGUUUUUCACUCAGCAGCUCUUUGAAAAAAAAAAAACAAAAAACAAAAAAAAAACAAUCAAUGGUUGGAUGCACUGGAAGGAGAUGGACAGUGAUUUGUCCAUACAGUACUUGCUGUGUAACUGACAUUCCUGAAGGGAGUGGCAGCCGUUUCCUGUGCAGGCAUGAGCAGGCCAGGGCCUCGGCCACCCCCACCUUGCUCCAAGAACCACGAAGAGGGCACGCAUUCUCUCAUUUCCCCUCUCAAAUGCUACAGAAUGAGAAGGCAGUUUUCUGGAACAUUUUCAUUUGAACCAAAGUCCAUGACAAUAAGAACCAAAAACCACUCAGGGGACGACAAAGCUCUCUAUGUUGAGAUUGGCCUUAAUGGUCUGCCUUGUAAUGGAACGAAUGCCAUUUCAACCCUGAUUUUCGGGCAAGCAUCAGAUAACUGUCAAGCAAAUACUGAGGUUCCUGGUCUCCCCCAGGAGGUCUUCCCCUCCCUGGAGGGGAAGGUGGUUCUCUCCCGCUCCUGCCCAACUGCAGCCGGAUGGAGCAGGAGGGAGAGGCAGGGGUGGAGCCUGGGGGAGGAAGACAGCUGGGAAAGGAAGCUUGGAGAAGACACUAAGGCAUCGACAUUGCACGAUGCCCAAACCAGAGAGGACCCAGAGGGUAUUGUCUCAGAUGCCCUCAUUGAAGACGUAGACCCUGAGGCCCAGAGUGGACAGUGACUGCCCUGAGGCCAUACAGCAAGUCUGGGGGAGCAGGGUUGAAAUUCAGGCCUCCAGAUACCCACACCCUCCUCUCUACCCACUUCUUCUGAAAUUACUCAGGGCCAGCAUCACUUCUGCACACGAGUCAGCUUUCUCACUCUCCAGACACCAAAGGCAGAGACAGGGAAUGAAGAGAGGGGAGGACAGGCCUUGUAAGAGCAGCAAAACCAUGGGUCAGGGAACGUGGAGCGAGGACGAGGUACAAAGGGCACUGGAAGGGCCACAUGCCCACUCUACCUUUGGGUGCAAGAGUGUGGCAUGUGCCCCCUUCCUCCUUUUUGAUUCCAACAUAGCCCCUCACCUCCCUCUCCCCUCAGCUCCCACUUCAGUUGCUGCUAAUAUGCCUGGAAACCCCUCAGGGCAUGGAAGCUGAGUGCGUAGGAUUUUUUUUUUUCCCUAAGAGAUUCUCAUCCUUCAUGAGCAAAGGGCCAGUCCUCAUAGGACCCACAGGCCCCCAGCCCACCAUCCAAGCCCCUCUGUAGCUGCUCUCCUCCAUCUACUCUUGCAGACUCUGGCAGCUCUAACACACCUUGCUGCUUCCCCACCCUGGCCCACCCUCUCUGUAGUCCUCAUCCUUGUCCUGGCUGGUUGCUAUGUCCUCCUCUUCAGCUAAAGUGUUCUACCUCCUUCAAUAUCCAGUCCUAAAGCCACUUCUCAGAACCCUGUGUAUACCGGCAGGUGUCAUUCUGCCUUAUCAUUAUUUGUUUACAUUACACUCCCUCCUGCUACACUCUAACGGAAAUCAUGGCCUCAUGGACCUCUGGGGGCAUCUGCAGUCUGUCUCUCCUAUGGCACUGGGUGCUCUCUGAAGGCAAGGGCAUCCUUCUGGCACCCUCAGCUCCUAACGUGGUACCUGGAGUAUGGCAGGCAUUUAAGGAAUGUUAGAUGGGUGGGCGGGUGUGUAGAUGGGUGGAUAGAUGGAAUAGGCACAGAUGUACUCCAUAAAUAAAUAACCCAUUUCAUUGGCAAAGGGAGAAGCCCCCAAACUCAGGCACCCAGGAGAUGUCUGGCAAAGCUGCCCUGACAGAUAAGUUCCUCCAAAGACACCAGGCAUGCCACAUCCAAAAGACCCCAUCCGUUAUAUCUGAACCAUCAGGGAAGACUCCUGGCUAGAAGAAAGUAAUCUAGGCUGGGCAGGGUGGCUCACACCUGUAAUACCAGCACUUUGGGAGGCUGAGGAGAGUGGAUCAUCUGAGGUCAGGAGCUCGAGACCAGCCUGGCCAACAUGGCGAAACCUUGUCUCUACUUAAAACAAAAAAAAAUAAAAUAAAACCAGCAAGUGUUCUAAGAAUUUGAAUUAUGAGCUCAUGGGGAAGCCAUCUUGGAUCAUUCACUCUGGAGACAAUUUCUUUUUUUUCUUGGCUCCACUGCCCGGGCUGGAGUACAGUGGCAUGCUCUCAGCUCACUGCAACCUCUGCCUCCUGGGUUCAAGCGAUUCUCCUGCCUCAGCCUCUUGAGUAGCUGGGAUUACAGGUACCUGCCACCACACCCAGCUAACUUUCGUAUUUUUAGUGGAGACAGGUUUUCACCACAUUGGCCAGGCUGGUCUUGAACUCCUGACCUCAGGUGAUCCACCCACCUGGCGCUCCCAAAAUGCUGGGAUUACAGGUGUGAGCCACUGCACCCAGCCUCACUCUGGAGACUUUCUUCCACACUCACGAAGCCUUCUCUUCCUCCUCUGCCCCCUCAACCUGUGGUACUCUCCCUGUCUAAUCCUAAAUUUCAAACGCCAGAGCCACACAGCCCUAGGAGAGCGAACCAGAUGGGGCAGUGACUGGUCCAAGGACCAGGUCCAAGAGUGUCCAGGUUCCUGGACCAUGGCCAGUCCACAAGCCCAUGCACCCAGGUCUCCGGGGCUUGCUUCAUCUCUGCUGGACUUGUUUCCGCAGGGUUAUUACUGUUCUAUAUCUGUUAUACCUCCCUUCAUCCACGGCAGGGACUCCUAGAAACAGACUUUCACUCCCAUGGAAGGCAGCUCCACACUUCCAACCCACCUUAGCGCAGGUGAAUGGAAGGCGAAUUGGAACAAGUAUUCCCAAUGCUGUUUCAGAAUCUAUCCUUCCAUUUAAAAAUAAAAAACAGAAACAAAAAAACUGGUUUGUCCUGUUUGUGAAACUUGCCUGCUCUCCCUUGUGAAACUUGCUGGCCCCACACAUCCCAAGUGUCACCCAAAGGAAUUUGGAGACAAAAUCAUUCUGGAGAAGUUACCAGAUGGGGCAUAUCUCACCUGCCUGUUUUUUCCUGGGGAGAGGGGGGCAAGUGGAGGCAGGGAGACUCCACUGGCUCGCUGGAGUUGCCAUUGCGGGAGGACAGAGAACUCAGAUGUACCUGCCAGCUUACCUUUCCUGACCAGCACGAAAGGCCCCCAGCCCAAAAGUACCAGCCUUGGCCCUAUUCAGCCAGGGCUGUCACCCCAACACAACCAUUUGGGAGAUUUCCUGAGUAUUUUAGGGAAAAGGAACUUUCAGGCAGUUCACUUCUACAAAGAGCUGAAUAAAUUGGUGUAGUUAUCCCCAUAACAACAUUCUCUGCACUCACACCCCCAUGAGUUUUCUUGAAAGAAAAAAAAAAAAAACAGUGGGAAUUAGAGCGCGUAAGCUGGGCCUGACUCACUGAUGAGGGAUGCAUAGGGCAUUUGAAUAACACCAUCAUCCAUCACAUAUGCCCAGAGGCAGACACACCCAGUCACCAUUAGUGACCACACAUUUAUGGGACAUCUCCUCUGUGCCAGGCUUGUGCUAAGUGUCCUGGGUACAUUACCUGUAAUCCUUCCAUUUGUCUUAGGGGUAUUUGUAAUGGCCUCAUUUUAUAGAUGAGCAAACUGAAGUUCAGGGUGGAUAAGCCACUUGUCCAGCAAAUGGAACCAGCUGCAUAAUUUGUAAAGCCUUGUACCGAAUCAAAGAGCAGGGACCUCCCUGUUCAAAAAUUAUUACAAAUUAUUAAGAAUGCAGCAGACGAGCCCAGGAAGGCGAGGCUACAGUGAGCUGAGAUCGCACCACUGCAUUCCAGCCUGGGCCACAGAGAGAGACCCUGUCUCAAAAAAA
Molecule: long non-coding RNA, 24658 nt
Filed under: Homo sapiens (human)
Lineage: Eukaryota; Metazoa; Chordata; Mammalia; Primates; Hominidae
Description: non-protein coding lnc-ANP32A-3:5
Source: RNAcentral